This 23-nucleotide non-coding RNA is filed under the name Cricetulus griseus (Chinese hamster). The record is from RNAcentral. Lineage: Eukaryota; Metazoa; Chordata; Mammalia; Rodentia; Cricetidae.
CCCAUGGAGGGAAAGGCUGCUUG